GAUGAACGCUGGCGGCGUGCCUAAUACAUGCAAGUCGAGCGAACGGACGAGAAGCUUGCUUCUCUGAUGUUAGCGGCGGACGGGUGAGUAACACGUGGAUAACCUACCUAUAAGACUGGGAUAACUUCGGGAAACCGGAGCUAAUACCGGAUAAUAUUUUGAACCGCAUGGUUCAAAAGUGAAAGACGGUCUUGCUGUCACUUAUAGAUGGAUCCGCGCUGCAUUAGCUAGUUGGUAAGGUAACGGCUUACCAAGGCAACGAUGCAUAGCCGACCUGAGAGGGUGAUCGGCCACACUGGAACUGAGACGCGGUCCAGACUCCUACGGGAGGCAGCAGUAGGGAAUUUUCCGCAAUGGGCGAAAGCCUGACGGAGCAACGCCGCGUGAGUGAUGAAGGUCUUCGGAUCGUAAAACUCUGUUAUUAGGGAAGAACAUAUGUGUAAGUAACUGUGCACAUCUUGACGGUACCUAAUCAGAAAGCCACGGCUAACUACGUG
Molecule: ribosomal RNA, 497 nt
Filed under: uncultured bacterium
Lineage: Bacteria
Description: partial 16S ribosomal RNA
Rfam family: Bacterial small subunit ribosomal RNA
Source: RNAcentral